Molecule: ribosomal RNA, 119 nt
Organism: Gossypium arboreum
Lineage: Eukaryota; Viridiplantae; Streptophyta; Magnoliopsida; Malvales; Malvaceae
Source: Rfam
GGGUCCGAUCAUACCAGCACUAAUGCACCGGAUCCCAUCAGAACUCUACAGAGAAGCGUGCUUCGGCGAGAGUAGUGCUAGGAUGGGUGACCUGUUGGGAAAUCCUCGUGUUGCACCCC